AGAGAAAAAUGGGAUGCUCUGGAUAAUCUCUUGGUAGAAACCUUUGCAAGCAUCAUGGAGAAAAUCCUUGAGAACUCUAGAGACCUCACUGAGACUGAAGAGCGGGGGCGUCUCCUCGAGCUCCUUGUGCUGCUGACCAGCGAGUCCUGCCAAGCAUUACUAUUAGCUUCUUACCUCAAGUGUGCUUGGUCCUCCRUUUACUAGGAAGCAAAGGACAGGGAUCUCAAUGCUACCUGUUCCUGUGAAAUAGAUGUCCAAAAGCAAUGUACAAGUCACCAAUCACUACUUUGGGGAUCUGCAGUGGGAUAACUACAGGGAUAAGGCCGAAUUGCACUGUAGUCUGGAGAAGAUUGAGGACUUUCUACCAGUGUGGGAAGAAUUCAAGACUCUCUCUGCAAGAUGGUAUGAAAGUGUACGGGAGAGAACAUGCCUGCCUUAGAGUCACU
Nothoprocta perdicaria is the source of this 446-nucleotide long non-coding RNA. RefSeq lists it as uncharacterized. NCBI's taxonomy places the organism in Eukaryota, Metazoa, Chordata, Aves, Tinamiformes, Tinamidae. The transcript has 5 exons. The record is from RefSeq and is a predicted model, not a curated record.